Monodelphis domestica (gray short-tailed opossum) is the source of this 534-nucleotide long non-coding RNA. RefSeq lists it as uncharacterized. Lineage: Eukaryota; Metazoa; Chordata; Mammalia; Didelphimorphia; Didelphidae. The record is from RefSeq and is a predicted model, not a curated record.
GAUGCACUCAGGUUAGGCUGAGGCAGCAUGAAGGACCAGGUAACAGAAGCUACAAAGAACAAGAAAAUGUGGAAAGAAAAGGGGGAUCCCCGUGUCUUCCCCAGUUCUUCCUUGGUUCCUCUUCCUUGGUGAGAAGAAUGCUACCGACAGGUGAUUCAAAGUGGGCAAGUAGAGGAAAGAGAACAGAAUCCUUCCAGAUUCCUGGCUCCUUUGAUAGGAAAGAAAAUGGCAAACUUCAUCUCAGAGAGGAUGGAUAUGGGAGAACUCAAGUGUUUCUCUUGAACAGAAGAGAAUUAGCUUCACCCUGAAAUGCCUUGGCACCUGAACCAGAAGCAAAAGAGAGGAAGAGAAGUCUCACUUCUGUGGAAAGCUUGCUCCUGGACAAACCAAAAGAUUCACCCAAACACCAAGUUCAAGACAUGCUGGCAGUCACAGUCCUCGAAUGAGACAUUUAAUUAUACAGUGCUUCAUGACUUCCCUUCCCCAUCAUGAAACAAAAGGCAGAAAGAGUCCAAAUUUACGCUGGCAGUGUCU